RNAcentral lists this transfer RNA (66 nucleotides) under Lygodactylus angolensis (Angola dwarf gecko). RNAcentral describes it as "tRNA-Trp". Lineage: Eukaryota; Metazoa; Chordata; Lepidosauria; Squamata; Gekkonidae. The record is from RNAcentral.
AAGUUUAGGUUCACUAAACCCCGAGCCUUCAAAGCACUAAACAGGGGAUCAAAGCCCUAACUUCUG